This 299-nucleotide unclassified non-coding RNA is filed under the name fungal sp. Its description in RNAcentral is "partial internal transcribed spacer region". The stretch from base 1 to 45 matches the Rfam family "Eukaryotic small subunit ribosomal RNA", at positions 1787 to 1831 of the family's 1831-position model. The record is from RNAcentral. Lineage: Eukaryota; Fungi.
AGUCGUAACAAGGUAUCCGUAGGUGAACCUGCGGAUGGAUCAUUACAGAAGCGAGCGCGGGUGAGAGCGGCCUAGCUGCGCCUCGCCCGCCGACCUCUCUGACGUUUUGUGCACUGUUUCCCGCCAACGGUCGCUGUUGUUGUUUAUGCAGCGGCGGCCGGAGGCGCCCAACCGGAACGUAUUAUUUACACCCACACUUGCGGCAUUCUUAGUAUGGCGUAGCUGUGUACUACUAGUACUACUACUACUACUGCAACAAAAAAUGGUGACAACUUUUAGCAACGGAUCUCUUGGCUCUC